UUUCAUCUCCUCAACUUCACUCUUCUUCCUCACCAAAGAGUGUAGGUAACUGUGGGCUUCUUAAAAUCUCAGACACCCGUGGAUGAAAAGAAAGGCUAGAUUGUUGCCCCAAAUGGAAUCAUCCCCUCCCUGUGCAACCACGCCUCUGGUCUGAAAACACAAAAUAAAAUAAAUAAAUAAAAACCAAACAAACAAUCAUGGAGCCUCAGGUCACUUCAGUAUGAUUUCUCUGAACAUCCCAGGCUGGAAAACUUCAGUUCUUUAAAAGAACAUUUUUUUUUUUUUUCUCCAGAGUCUGCUGCCAACAAAAAGAGAGACGGCAUCGCUUUUACAAGCCUCACACUUAUUUUCCUGAGUCCCCGCAGAAAGAAGCCGGCUCCACAGGUUUUGGCAUACCAGCCCAAUUACACCGAACACGGAAUCCAGACAGACACCCAGUGGCCCGCAAAACCCGGGUCAGGUAGCCAGAAACAUGCCAAAAUACGCAGCCAGCCACCUACAGGCCAGCGAACUGCACCCCCGCCCCCACCCCCGACACACACAAAUGGGACCCAGAGGCAAACAGCACAGAGGAGUCGGGACACACGCGCACACACCACGGGGGUGAGCGCACGCAGAGAAACAGGCGGACUCAUCUAGGGUCACAGACAACCCGGGCGCCGCCGCCCGCCGGGGAGGCACGAGUGCGCGCGCGUGCACUCACACGCACACGGUGAUACACACACACAGCCGC
Molecule: long non-coding RNA, 733 nt
Organism: Herpailurus yagouaroundi (jaguarundi)
Lineage: Eukaryota; Metazoa; Chordata; Mammalia; Carnivora; Felidae
Exons: 3
Source: RefSeq, a predicted model, not a curated record